GUCAGCGACCAUACCACGUCUGAUCACCCAAGUUAAACUACGUCGGGGCGGAUUAGUACUUGCAUGGGUGACUGGCUGGAAAUACCCGGUGUUGCUGACU
Molecule: ribosomal RNA, 100 nt
Filed under: Rodentolepis nana
Lineage: Eukaryota; Metazoa; Platyhelminthes; Cestoda; Cyclophyllidea; Hymenolepididae
Source: RNAcentral